RNAcentral lists this ribosomal RNA (539 nucleotides) under uncultured fungus. RNAcentral's name for it is "eukaryotic LSU rRNA". The stretch from base 240 to 393 matches the Rfam family "5.8S ribosomal RNA". Lineage: Eukaryota; Fungi. The record is from RNAcentral.
CGCUACUACCGAUUGAAUGGUUUGGUGAGGCUUCCGGAUUGACCUAAGAACGAGGGCGACCUUGAUCUGGGGUUGAAAAGCUAGUCAAACCUAAUCAUUUAGAGGAAGUAAAAGUCGUAACAAGGUUUCCGUAGGUGAACCUGCGGAAGGAUCAUUAAAAAUUUAAUUGUUUACACGUUUACGUUUAACAUAUACAACUAACCAACUUAAUUAUGUCAACAACAACAACCAAAAAUCAAAACUUUCAACAACGGAUCUCUUGGUUCUCGCAUCGAUGAAGAACGCAGCGAAAUGCGAUAAGUAAUAUGAAUUGCAGAUUUUCGUGAAUCAUCGAAUCUUUGAACGCACAUUGCACCUUGUGGUAUUCCACAAGGUAUGCCUGUUUGAGCGUCAUUUCUCCCUCAACCCCCGCGGGUUGGCGUUGAAUGGCACGAGCUCUUAGUCAGUCCAUUCGAAAAGUAUUUUUCUUGUGUUGUUAUUUUCUAAUUUAGUAGUGACAACCACACUAAAAACACAUUUUCCUCAAAUCAGGUAGGACU